AUCAAUAAGCGGAGGAAAAGAAACUAACAAGGAUUCCCCUAGUAGCGGCGAGCGAAGCGGGAAAAGCUCAAAUUUGUAAUCUGGCGUCUUCGACGUCCGAGUUGUAAUCUCGAGAAGUGUUUUCCGUGAUAGACCGCAUACAAGUCUCUUGGAACAGAGCGUCAUAGUGGUGAGAACCCAGUACACGAUGCGGAUGCCUAUUACUUUGUGAUACACUUUCGAAGAGUCGAGUUGUUUGGGAAUGCAGCUCAAAUUGGGUGGUAAAUUCCAUCUAAAGCUAAAUAUUGGCGAGAGACCGAUAGCGAACAAGUACCGUGAGGGAAAGAUGAAAAGCACUUUGGAAAGAGAGUUAACAGUACGUGAAAUUGUUGGAAGGGAAACACAUGCAGUGAUACUUGCUAUUCGGGGCAACUCGAUUGGCAGGCCCGCAUCAGUUUUUCGGGGCGGAAAAUCGUAGAGAGAAGGUAGCAGUUUCGGCUGUGUUAUAGCUCUUUACUGGAUUCGCCCUGGGGGACUGAGGAACGCAGCGUGCUUUUAGCAUGAGCUUCGGCUUAUCCACGCUUAGGAUGCG
RNAcentral lists this ribosomal RNA (571 nucleotides) under Sporobolomyces pararoseus. RNAcentral describes it as "eukaryotic LSU rRNA". It matches the Rfam family "Eukaryotic large subunit ribosomal RNA", at positions 42 to 627 of the family's 3401-position model. Lineage: Eukaryota; Fungi; Basidiomycota; Microbotryomycetes; Sporidiobolales; Sporidiobolaceae. The record is from RNAcentral.